UACGUAGGGGGCUAGCGUUGUCCGGAAUCAUUGGGCGUAAAGCGCGUGUAGGCGGCCCGGUAAGUCCGCUGUGAAAGUCGGGGGCUCAACCCUCGAAAGCCGGUGGAUACUGUCGGGCUAGAGUACGGAAGAGGCGAGUGGAAUACCCAGUGUAGAGGUGAAAUUCGUAGAUAUUGGGUGGAACACCGGUGGCGAAAGCGGCUCUCUGGUCCGGACCUGACGCUGAGGCGCGAAAGCGUGGGGAGCAAACAGG
Molecule: ribosomal RNA, 253 nt
Filed under: uncultured bacterium
Lineage: Bacteria
Description: partial 16S ribosomal RNA
Rfam family: Bacterial small subunit ribosomal RNA
Source: RNAcentral